UACGGAGGAUGCAAGCGUUAUCCGGAAUAAUUGGGCGUAAAGCGUUCGUAGGUGGUUUUGUAAGUCUGCUGUUAAAGCGUGUAGCUCAACUACAUAUAGGCAGUGGAAACUACAAAACUUGAGUGCGUUCGGGGUAGAGGGAAUUCCUGGUGUAGCGGUGAAAUGCGUAGAGAUCAGGAAGAACACCGGUGGCGAAGGCGCUCUACUAGGCCGCAACUGACACUGAGGGACGAAAGCUAGGGGAGCGAAUGGG
This 253-nucleotide ribosomal RNA is filed under the name uncultured bacterium. RNAcentral describes it as "partial 16S ribosomal RNA". It matches the Rfam family "Bacterial small subunit ribosomal RNA", at positions 524 to 776 of the family's 1533-position model. The record is from RNAcentral.